This 464-nucleotide ribosomal RNA is filed under the name uncultured bacterium. RNAcentral describes it as "partial 16S ribosomal RNA". It matches the Rfam family "Bacterial small subunit ribosomal RNA", at positions 339 to 795 of the family's 1533-position model. The record is from RNAcentral.
CUACGGGCCGCACCAGUGGGGAAUAUUGGACAAUGGGCGCAAGCCUGAUCCAGCCAUGCCGCGUGUGUGAAGAAGGCCUUCGGGUUGUAAAGCACUUUCAGUUGGGAGGAAAGGUUAGUCGCUAAUAUCGGCUAGCUGUGACGUUACCAACAGAAGAAGCACCGGCUAACUCCGUGCCAGCAGCCGCGGUAAUACGGAGGGUGCAAGCGUUAAUCGGAAUUACUGGGCGUAAAGCGUACGCAGGCGGUUGAUUAAGCGAGAUGUGAAAGCCCCGGGCUCAACCUGGGAACUGCAUUUCGAACUGGUCAACUAGAGUGUGAUAGAGGGUGGUAGAAUUUCAGGUGUAGCGGUGAAAUGCGUAGAGAUCUGAAGGAAUACCGAUGGCGAAGGCAGCCACCUGGGUCAACACUGACGCUCAUGUACGAAAGCGUGGGGAGCAAACAGGAUUAGAUACCCGCGUAGUC